This 467-nucleotide ribosomal RNA is filed under the name uncultured bacterium. RNAcentral's name for it is "partial 16S ribosomal RNA". It matches the Rfam family "Bacterial small subunit ribosomal RNA", at positions 28 to 507 of the family's 1533-position model. The record is from RNAcentral.
GGCGAACGCUGGCGGCGUGCUUAACACAUGCAAGUCGAACGGAAAGGCUCCAGCUUUCUGCCGUUCUCGAUUGGCGAAGGGGUGAGUAACACGUGGGUAUUCUGCCCUGCACUCUCGGAUAAGCCUGGGAAACUGGGUCUAAUACUGGAUAUGACCUUUCUCCUUAUGAGGUUUGGUGGAAAGUUUUUCGGUGUAGGAUGAGCCCGCGGCCUAUCGGCUUGUUGGGGGGGUGAUGGCCUACGAAGGCGACGACGGGUAGCCGGCCUGAGAGGGGGAUCGGGCACAUUGGGACUAAGGUACGGACCAGACUCCAACGGGAGGCAGUAGUGGGGAAUAUUGCACAGUGGGCCGAAGCCUGAUGCAGCGGCCUUGGGUGAGGGAUGCCGGCUUUCGGGUUGUAAACAUCUUUCAGCAGAGACGAAGCGUAAGUGACGGUACCUGAAGAAGAAGCACCGGCUAACUAUGUG